AGCGGUAAGGCCUUUCGGGGUACACGAGCGGCGAACGGGUGAGUAACACGUGGGUGAUCUGCCCUGCACUCUGGGAUAAGCUUGGGAAACUGGGUCUAAUACCGGAUAUGACCACAUGCCGCAUGGGGUGUGGUGGAAAGAUUUAUCGGUGCAGGAUGGGCCCGCGGCCUAUCAGCUUGUUGGUGGGGUAAUGGCCUACCAAGGCGACGACGGGUAGCCGACCUGAGAGGGUGACCGGCCACACUGGGACUGAGACACGGCCCAGACUCCUACGGGAGGCAGCAGUGGGGAAUAUUGCACAAUGGGCGGAAGCCUGAUGCAGCGACGCCGCGUGAGGGAUGAAGGCCUUCGGGUUGUAAACCUCUUUCAGCAGGGACGAAGCGUGAGUGACGGUACCUGCAGAAGAAGCACCGGCUAACUACGUGCCAGCAGCCGCGGUAAUACGUAGGGUGCGAGCGUUGUCCGGAAUUACUGGGCGUAAAGAGUUCGUAGGCGGUUU
RNAcentral lists this ribosomal RNA (499 nucleotides) under Rhodococcus sp. (in: high G+C Gram-positive bacteria). RNAcentral's name for it is "bacterial SSU rRNA". It matches the Rfam family "Bacterial small subunit ribosomal RNA", at positions 65 to 581 of the family's 1533-position model. The record is from RNAcentral. Lineage: Bacteria; Bacillati; Actinomycetota; Actinomycetes; Mycobacteriales; Nocardiaceae.